GAACGAUGAUAGCUUGCUAUCAGGCGUCGAGCGGCGGACGGGUGAGUAAUACUUAGGAAUCUACCUAGUAGUGGGGGAUAGCUCGGGGAAACUCGAAUUAAUACCGCAUACGACCUACGGGAGAAAGGGGGCAACUUGUUGCUCUCGCUAUUAGAUGAGCCUAAGUCGGAUUAGCUAGAUGGUGGGGUAAAGGCCUACCAUGGCGACGAUCUGUAGCUGGUCUGAGAGGAUGAUCAGCCACACCGGGACUGAGACACGGCCCGGACUCCUACGGGAGGCAGCAGUGGGGAAUAUUGGACAAUGGGGGCAACCCUGAUCCAGCCAUGCCGCGUGUGUGAAGAAGGCCUUUUGGUUGUAAAGCACUUUAAGCAGUGAAGAAGACUCCAUGGUUAAUACCCAUGGACGAUGACAUUAGCUGCAGAAUAAGCACCGGCUAACUCUGUGCCAGCAGCCGCGGUAAUACAGAGGGUGCAAGCGUUAAUCGGAAUUACUGGGCGUAAAGCGAGCGUAGGUGGCUUGAUAAGUCAGAUGUGAAAUCCCCGGGCUUAACCUGGGAACUGCAUCUGAUACUGUUAGGCUAGAAUAGGUGAGAGGAAGGUAGAAUUCCAGGUGUAGC
This 616-nucleotide ribosomal RNA is filed under the name Psychrobacter sp. LS20-MRL. Its description in RNAcentral is "bacterial SSU rRNA". It matches the Rfam family "Bacterial small subunit ribosomal RNA", at positions 69 to 679 of the family's 1533-position model. The record is from RNAcentral. Lineage: Bacteria; Pseudomonadati; Pseudomonadota; Gammaproteobacteria; Moraxellales; Moraxellaceae.